This 726-nucleotide ribosomal RNA is filed under the name uncultured Actinomycetes bacterium. RNAcentral describes it as "bacterial SSU rRNA". It matches the Rfam family "Bacterial small subunit ribosomal RNA", at positions 61 to 804 of the family's 1533-position model. The record is from RNAcentral. Lineage: Bacteria; Bacillati; Actinomycetota; Actinomycetes.
GUCGAACGGUGAAGCCCUUCGGGGUGGAUCAGUGGCGAACGGGUGAGUAACACGUGGGCAAUCUGCCCUGCACUCUGGGACAAGCCUUGGAAACGAGGUCUAAUACCGGAUAUUACCCCUGGGGGCAUCCCUGGGGGUGGAAAGCUCCGGCGGUGCAGGAUGAGCCCGCGGCCUAUCAGCUUGUUGGUGGGGUGAUGGCCUACCAAGGCGACGACGGGUAGCCGGCCUGAGAGGGCGACCGGCCACACUGGGACUGAGACACGGCCCAGACUCCUACGGGAGGCAGCAGUGGGGAAUAUUGCACAAUGGGCGAAAGCCUGAUGCAGCGACGCCGCGUGAGGGAUGAAGGCCUUCGGGUUGUAAACCUCUUUCAGCAGGGAAGAAGCGCAAGUGACGGUACCUGCAGAAGAAGCACCGGCUAACUACGUGCCAGCAGCCGCGGUAAUACGUAGGGUGCGAGCGUUGUCCGGAAUUAUUGGGCGUAAAGAGCUCGUAGGCGGCUUGUCACGUCGGAUGUGAAAGCCCGGGGCUUAACCCCGGGUCUGCAUUCGAUACGGGCAGGCUAGAGUGUGGUAGGGGAGAUCGGAAUUCCUGGUGUAGCGGUGAAAUGCGCAGAUAUCAGGAGGAACACCGGUGGCGAAGGCGGAUCUCUGGGCCAUUACUGACGCUGAGGAGCGAAAGCGUGGGGAGCGAACAGGAUUAGAUACCCUGGUAGUCCACGCCGUA